AAGUCGUAACAAGGUCUCCGUUGGUGAACCAGCGGAAGGAUCAUUAACACGUUUUACGUAUAAACCAAAUCGUGAACUUUAUAACGCUCGGCGAGCUAGAAAACAUGCCCAACUGGCUGUAUUGUGGGAUUAGGAUCAGACUAAAGUGGUUAGGUAGACCUUUCUUAACGCAAGUUGAGGAUGUUCGCCACUGUGGAGUCGCGGGUUAUAUGGGGCUUUGAAUCCCUUUCUCCCAAUCCUUUUCCGUGAAUACUGAAUGACCCAGUUGUUAAACUCUGUCGCUUAUCGCAGCCCUCCAUUACGGCCUACCUCGUAAUGUGGUUGUGUUUAACCCCUAUUAACCAUUUUUUUUAUCAGUACUGAUAUGUAUCAGACCGAAAGGUUCGAUAUAUAAAAAACAUGCACAACUCUUAGCAAUGGAUGUCUCGGUUCUC
This 434-nucleotide unclassified non-coding RNA is filed under the name fungal sp. RNAcentral describes it as "partial internal transcribed spacer region". The stretch from base 1 to 46 matches the Rfam family "Eukaryotic small subunit ribosomal RNA", at positions 1786 to 1831 of the family's 1831-position model. Lineage: Eukaryota; Fungi. The record is from RNAcentral.